CCUACGGGAGGCAGCAGUGGGGAAUCUUGGGCAAUGGCCGAAAGGCUGACCCAGCGACGCCGCGUGGGGGAAGAAGGCCUUCGGGUCGUAAACCCCUGUCAGGGAGGAAGAAGGCUUACGGGUUAAUAGCCCGUGGAGUUUGACGGUACUCCCAGAGGAAGCCACGGCUAACUCCGUGCCAGCAGCCGCGGUAAU
This 195-nucleotide ribosomal RNA is filed under the name uncultured bacterium. Its description in RNAcentral is "partial 16S ribosomal RNA". It matches the Rfam family "Bacterial small subunit ribosomal RNA", at positions 338 to 524 of the family's 1533-position model. The record is from RNAcentral.